Molecule: ribosomal RNA, 2923 nt
Organism: Catenovulum agarivorans DS-2
Lineage: Bacteria; Pseudomonadati; Pseudomonadota; Gammaproteobacteria; Alteromonadales; Alteromonadaceae
Rfam family: Bacterial large subunit ribosomal RNA
Source: Rfam
GGUUAAGUGACUAAGCGUGCACGGUGGAUGCCUUGGCAAUUGGAGGCGAUGAAGGACGUGUUAAUCUGCGAUAAGCUUGGUCAAGCCGAUAAAAGGCGCAUGAGACCAAGAUUUCCGAAUGGGGCAACCCACUCUUUAUAGAGUAUCUUACAGUGAAUACAUAGCUGUAAGAAGCAAACCCGGAGAACUGAAACAUCUAAGUACCCGGAGGAACAGAAAUCAACCGAGAUUCCGUUAGUAGCGGCGAGCGAAAGCGGAACAGCCGAUAUCAUAAAGUUCAGCAGAACAUUCUGGAAAGUUUGACCAUAGUAGGUGAUAGUCCUGUAUGCGAAAAACGUUAUGAUACAUAUUAAGUAGGUCGGGACACGUGUUAUCUUGACUGAAUAUGGGGGGACCAUCCUCCAAGGCUAAAUACUCCCAAUUGACCGAUAGUGAACCAGUACCGUGAGGGAAAGGCGAAAAGAACCCCUGUAAGGGGAGUGAAAUAGAACCUGAAACCGUGUACGUACAAGCAGUGGGAGCAGACUUGUUCUGUGACUGCGUACCUUUUGUAUAAUGGGUCAGCGACUUAUAUUUUGUAGCGAGGUUAACCGAAUUGGGGAGCCGUAGCGAAAGCGAGUGUUAACUGCGCGUUGAGUUGCAAGGUAUAGACCCGAAACCCGGCGAUCUACCCAUGGGCAGGUUGAAGGUUGAGUAACAUCAACUGGAGGACCGAACUCACUAAUGUUGAAAAAUUAGGAGAUGACCUGUGGGUCGGAGUGAAAGGCUAAUCAAGCCGGGAGAUAGCUGGUUCUCCCCGAAAGCUAUUUAGGUAGCGCCUCGGACGAAUACCACUGGGGGUAGAGCACUGUUAAGGCUAGGGGGUCAUCCCGACUUACCAACCCUUUGCAAACUCCGAAUACCAGUGAGUACUAUCCGGGAGACACACGGCGGGUGCUAACGUCCGUCGUGAAGAGGGCAACAACCCAGACCGCCAGCUAAGGUCCCAAAUACUAAUUAAGUGGGAAACGAUGUGGGAAGGCUUAGACAGCUAGGAGGUUGGCUUAGAAGCAGCCACCCUUUAAAGAAAGCGUAAUAGCUCACUAGUCGAGUCGGCCUGCGCGGAAGAUGUAACGGGGCUAAAUUAGUAACCGAAGCUGCGGAUUUAAUCUUAGGAUUAAGUGGUAGGGGAGCGUUCUGUAAGCUGUUGAAGGUGUGUUGUAAAGCAUGCUGGAGGUAUCAGAAGUGCGAAUGCUGACAUCGAGAGGUAUGCUGGAGGUAUCAGAAGUGCGAAUGCUGACAUGAGUAACGAUAAAGCGGGUGAAAAACCCGCUCGCCGAAAGACCAAGGUUUCCUGUCCCAUGCUAAUCAGGGCAGGGUAAGUCGGCCCCUAAGGCGAGGCAGAGAUGCGUAGUCGAUGGGAAACAGGUUAAUAUUCCUGUACUUUUAUUAACUGCGAUGGAGAGACGGAGAAGGCUAAACUAGCUUGGCGUUGGUUGUCCAAGUGAAAGUAAGUAGGCUGAAGAAUUAGGUAAAUCCGGUUCUUCUUAAGGCUGAGAUACGAGACGAGCUACCAAGGUAGCGAAGUAGUUGAUGCCCGGCUUCCAGGAAAAUCUUCUAAGCGAUAGGUUAAUAAGAACCGUACCCGAAACCGACACAGGUGGUCAGGUAGAGAAUACUAAGGCGCUUGAGAGAACCCGGGUGAAGGAACUAGGCAAAAUAGUACCGUAACUUCGGGAGAAGGUACGCCACGUUAUUGUGAAGGGCUUUACGCCUGGAGCGAGAGGUGGUCGAAGUAACCAGGUGGCUGGAACUGUUUAUUAAAAACACAGCACUGUGCAAAAUCGAAAGAUGACGUAUACGGUGUGACACCUGCCCGGUGCCGGAAGGUUAAUUGAUGGGGUUAUCCUUAGGGAGAAGCUCUUGAUCGAAGCCCCGGUAAACGGCGGCCGUAACUAUAACGGUCCUAAGGUAGCGAAAUUCCUUGUCGGGUAAGUUCCGACCUGCACGAAUGGUGUAAUCAUGGCCACGCUGUCUCCACCCGGGACUCAGUGAAAUUGAACUUGCUGUGAAGAUGCAGUGUACCCGCGGCUAGACGGAAAGACCCCGUGAACCUUUACUAUAGCUUGGCAGUGAACAUUGAACCUACAUGUGUAGGAUAGGUGGGAGGCUUUGAAGCAGCGUCGCUAGAUGUUGUGGAGCCGACCUUGAAAUACCACCCUUGUAUGUUUGAUGUUCUAACUUAGGUCCCUAAUCGGGAUUGAGGACAUUGCCUGGUGGGUAGUUUGACUGGGGCGGUCUCCUCCCAAAGCGUAACGGAGGAGCACGAAGGUUGGCUAAGUACGGUCGGACAUCGUACGGUUAGUGCAAUGGCAUAAGCCAGCUUAACUGCGAGACAGACACGUCGAGCAGGUGCGAAAGCAGGUCAUAGUGAUCCGGUGGUUCUGAAUGGAAGGGCCAUCGCUCAACGGAUAAAAGGUACUCCGGGGAUAACAGGCUGAUACCGCCCAAGAGUUCAUAUCGACGGCGGUGUUUGGCACCUCGAUGUCGGCUCAUCACAUCCUGGGGCUGAAGUCGGUCCCAAGGGUAUGGCUGUUCGCCAUUUAAAGUGGUACGCGAGCUGGGUUUAGAACGUCGUGAGACAGUUCGGUCCCUAUCUGCCGUGGGCGUUUGAGAAUUGAGGGGGGCUUCUCCUAGUACGAGAGGACCGGAGUGGACGAACCUCUGGUGUUCCGGUUGUUCUGCCAAGAGCAUUGCCGGGUAGCUAAGUUCGGAAUCGAUAACCGCUGAAAGCAUCUAAGCGGGAAGCGAGCCCCGAGAUGAGUUGUCACAGACCCUUGAGGUCCUGUAGGGCCCUUGUAGACUACGAGGUUGAUAGGUUGGGUGUGUAAGUGCUGUGAGGCAUUGAGCUAACCAAUACUAAUUGCCCGUGCGGCUUAACCAU